UACGAAGGGGGCUAGCGUUGCUCGGAAUCACUGGGCGUAAAGCGCACGUAGGCGGAUUUCUAAGUCAGGGGUGAAAUCCUGGAGCUCAACUCCAGAACUGCCUUUGAUACUGGGAAUCUCGAGUCCGGAAGAGGUGAGUGGAACUGCGAGUGUAGAGGUGAAAUUCGUAGAUAUUCGCAAGAACACCAGUGGCGAAGGCGGCUCACUGGUCCGGUACUGACGCUGAGGUGCGAAAGCGUGGGGAGCAAACAGG
This 253-nucleotide ribosomal RNA is filed under the name uncultured bacterium. Its description in RNAcentral is "partial 16S ribosomal RNA". It matches the Rfam family "Bacterial small subunit ribosomal RNA", at positions 524 to 776 of the family's 1533-position model. The record is from RNAcentral.